GACGUAGGGCGCGAGCGUUGUCCGGAUUUAUUGGGCGUAAAGAGCUCAUAGGCGGCUUGUUGCGUCAGCUGUGAGAACCCGCAGCUCAACUGUGGGCUUGCAGCUGAUACGGGCAGGCUUGAGUUCGGUAGGGGAGACUGGAAUUCCUGGUGUAGCGGUGAAAUGCGCAGAUAUCAGGAGGAACACCGGUGGCGAAGGCGGGUCUCUGGGCCGAUACUGACGCUGAGGAGCGAAAGCGUGGGGAGCGAACAGG
This 253-nucleotide ribosomal RNA is filed under the name uncultured bacterium. RNAcentral's name for it is "partial 16S ribosomal RNA". It matches the Rfam family "Bacterial small subunit ribosomal RNA", at positions 524 to 776 of the family's 1533-position model. The record is from RNAcentral.